GACGAACGCUGGCGGCGUGCUUAACACAUGCAAGUCGAACGGUAAGGCCCUUCGGGGUACACGAGUGGCGAACGGGUGAGUAACACGUGGGUGAUCUGCCCUGCACUUCGGGAUAAGCCUGGGAAACUGGGUCUAAUACCGGAUAGGACUCCGGACUGCAUGGUCUGGGGUGGAAAGCUUUUGCGGUGUGGGAUGGGCCCGCGGCCUAUCAGCUUGUUGGUGGGGUGAUGGGCUAACAAGGCGACGACGGGUAGCCGGCCUGAGCGGGUGACCGGACACAGUGGGGCCGCGAUACUGCGCAGAGUCCUACGGGGGGCAUCAGGGGGGAAUAUUGCAGAAUGGGCGGAAGCCUGGUGCAGAGACGCCGCGUGAGGGAUGACGGCCUUCGGGUGGUGAACCUCUUUCAGCAUCGACGAAGCGAAAGGGACGGUAGGUGCAGAAGAAGGACCGGCCAACUACGUGCCAGCCGCCGCAGUAA
Molecule: ribosomal RNA, 478 nt
Filed under: uncultured bacterium
Lineage: Bacteria
Description: partial 16S ribosomal RNA
Rfam family: Bacterial small subunit ribosomal RNA
Source: RNAcentral